UGGGGCGUAGACAAGUGGCAAGUCACCGGGUUUUGAUCCCGGCAUUCGUAGGUUCGAAUCCUACCGCCCCAA
RNAcentral lists this transfer RNA (72 nucleotides) under Pseudomonadota bacterium. Its description in RNAcentral is "Proteobacteria bacterium (marine metagenome) tRNA-Gln". It matches the Rfam family "tRNA". Rfam says of the family: Transfer RNA (tRNA) molecules are approximately 80 nucleotides in length. Their secondary structure includes four short double-helical elements and three loops (D, anti-codon, and T loops). Lineage: Bacteria; Pseudomonadati; Pseudomonadota. The record is from RNAcentral.